RNAcentral lists this ribosomal RNA (405 nucleotides) under uncultured bacterium. RNAcentral's name for it is "partial 16S ribosomal RNA". It matches the Rfam family "Bacterial small subunit ribosomal RNA", at positions 28 to 526 of the family's 1533-position model. The record is from RNAcentral.
GAUGAACGCUGGCGGCGUGCCUAAUACAUGCAAGUCGAGCGAAGAGGGGACGGGGGAGUAACACGUAGAUAAACUGCUCUAAGACUGGGAUAACCUCGGGAAACCGGAGCUAAAACGGCAAAGUAUAGAUGGAUCAGCGCUGCAUUAGCUGGUUGGUAAGGUAACGGCUUACCAAGGAAACGAUGCAUAGCCGAACUGAGAGGGUGAUCGUCCACACUGGAACUGGGACACGGUCCAGAUGCCUACGUGAGGCAGCAGUGGGGAAUCUUCCGCAAUGGGCGAAAGCCUGACCGAGCAACGCCGCGUGAGUGAUGAAGGUCUUCGGGUCGUAAAACUCUGUUAUUAGGGAAGCGGUAUCUAAUCAGAAAGCCACGGCUAACUACGUGCCAGCAGCCGCGGUAAUUC